UUUUGGAAUGUAUGAGUUUAUAUUUGGCAGAUUCUUUAUUUAAAUCAACUUACAGAGCACUACAUUUUAUCAAUAUGCUCCCUGAGAAUUGGCUUUAUAUAUCCUAUUUUCUACCAGAAAAGGACACAGGAAAGCACCUUUUUAGGGUGAACUGAUUUGACAUAAUCUGUAUAGUACUGUAUUUCCAUCUAGUUCAAGACUUGAAGGUACUAUACAGCAUUACUAAAUAAAAUAUAUAUGUUAACUGCAGUGUAUAAUAGGCAUAACAUUCAGAUUUUGUCAACACAAAGUAAAAAAAAAAAAAAAACGGUUAUGUUCCAGUUUGGGUUGGCUAAAACUGUUUCUCAACAUUUCACCAAAGGAAGUGUUUCAAAGCUACUUUGCAAGUCUGGAGACCACAGAACUGUGAAAACAUACUGGUUGACUCAGAGCAGCUCUUUUUAGUCCUAUUCACACAUUCAUAAUGAAGCUAAUUCUGGGGGUCCUCCUCAUAUUUGAAAGCCUGAGGCAAAUUAAUAAUAGGUAGUUCAAAAUUUUAUGGACUGUUUAAGAAAUAAAGAUUAAAGAUGGAGACUACUGAGAGAGCUGCCAGAAAAUCUUUCAUUGUGAUGAUUAACAUGAUUGCGUGGAUGAUUUUAAUAACAGCUACUGGAUUAGGAACGACCCAUUUUCACGAGUGCCCUGUUCAACCAAACCUCCCCAUCUAUAUAACUGUGAUUGGGGCGACUGGUCUGUUUUCACUGUUGCUCAUGUACCUGAGGAACACUUUGGAUGACUGUCUGCUGGCUCGCUUCUGCAGUGUCUUCAGCUUGAUGCUCUGUGUAUUCAUUGUGUGCUGGUUCUUUGCUGGUACCUACUGGAUUUACUCCAUAUAUCCUCCCAGUUAUGACUCCACCAGUACUGGAAUUCACUGUCAUAGAACCCUGUACCUGUUUGCAUUUUGGUUCAACAAUAUAUGCUUUUUGUGUAUGUCCAUAGUGUUUAUUUUUUGUUUGUAUACCAUUUUGAGCAACUGUACUAUUGUCUUCUUCACUGAUAGAACUGUGUGUUAAAAUUUAGCUGCAGGCCUGUGGUAAUUCUCUGAAAAUGUGCUGUAUAAUUAAUAUAUCAUUGUUAGGCUACAAGACAUUUUCUCACAGUAGUUGUUUCAUUAAUAAAGAUUAACCUUUUAUGGUACGCAUUAUGUUCUAACCAUGAAAUAUUUUUUCAAAUAAGUUUUUAUUACAUGAAAUAGCUUCAAUUAUGCAAAUCAAAAAAGAUUUUUGAAAAAAAAAAAGAUUUUUGGGGGUUAUUUAGGAAAAGGUUGCCAUAUGGCAACUCUGUACCAUAAUGGAAAAUGGUCAAAAAAGUAAUUUUUCUAUAAAAUUAUGAUUUUCUUUUCUAUUUAAAUGCACAUUUCUUUUAGAAAUUGAUAGAUUUAUAUACUUGGACUCAUGCAAACCACAAAAAUAAGUAGAUCCCUAUCAUUUAAUCCCUAUCAUUCCCUGUCAUUUGGCUAACUCAUUCUCACUCUUAUGACAUGGAAGAGCUAACUCUGUACUCUUCCUAUUGCCCUUUCUGUAAAAUAUUGCUAUAUUCAUUUUUGGAAAAGAAGAAAUAAUUUUGUUAUUUAUACAUAAAUACAACUAUACUACAAAAAACACUUCAAAAUAAAUUAAUAACAGCAAUCAUAUUGUUGAUUCUACUAUCUAUAAAAAAUCCCAAUGGGGAAAUACAUUACUGCAAUUCCACUAUAUAUACUGUAUAUAUACUGUAAUUCCACUAUAACUAUCCUGUUAAAUAAAACCAUUGUCUUGUUUUGUUUAAGCACCUUUUGGUAUUUGAAGUUUUUUAUAUCCUCUUUACAGUACAGACUACAUCUUACAAUGUGGACAGUUGUAACUAUCAAAAUACAUCAAUUAAAAACAAUAAAAAUGCUUAAUUAUUCAAAGCAAAAAAAGUGGAAAAUAAAAACAAUUUUUCCCUCCAAUUUGAUUGAAGGUUACACUUUAUUUCGAUGGUACACGUUAGACAUUCUACUAACUAUAAUUAAUUUUGCAACUGUCAAGUAACUCUCAUCAGAGUAUUAGUUUAAUGUAGUAGACUGUUAGAUUGGAGUUAUAGGGUUAGGGUUAGUAGAAUAGGUUAACAUGUAGCUGCAAAGUUAGUACCAGUCAGUAGAAUGUCUGUUUGGGGAGCAUCAAAAUAAAGUGUUAGCAAAUAUUAAACAGACAGUCUAAUAAUACUCUAAUGAGAGGUAGUUGACAUGUAGUUGCAAAGUUACUUAUAGUUAGAACUCUAAAGUGGACCAUCGAAAUAAGGUGUUACCUGAUUGAAUAAUUCAUGAGAGGGUUCUUAGCAAGGAGGUCUAUAAUAGGUUGUUAGGGUUAUUUGUCCCGCCCACAAGACUUGCGCGAUGCCAGUUGUCCUGUCACAGCACCCGUCCCAGAAAUGUAAUUAUUCUUGCAGCCAACAACAACAACAACAAUUGUCCUCCAAACUGCUUUAAAUUAAAAAAAAACACGCUGUCAAAAGCACUAUACCUAGUCCAGCGUAACGAGACGGUUAGUUGUUAUGGCUGGUAGGUAAACAUUUAAUCCAAUACAUGUAAAAUAGACACUCAACGCGGCUUUGCAUUUAAUGCACGUAAUCUAAUUGAUAUGUUUGGCAUGUGUAAGUAACCUGAGCUUGACCCAAAGCAGCCUGACUGUUAAGAGUGUGAAUAGCAAAGCAGACCUGCUGGGUUGUGUAUACCUAUUGCAAUAUGCAUCCCUCAUUCUUUAUGCGUAACCAUUUCUGUAAAUAAAAUAGCGUAUCAGUGCUGUGUUUUGAUGCGCUUUUGUGUUGUCUCGUUGUUUUGGUCUUUCUUGUGUUGUUUUGUAAUGGGUUAACCGUUGUUGUGAAGUUGCGGAACUAGUGGCAAAAUGCUUGCAGGCACGGGAAAUGGCUUACUGUCCGUACAGUGGGUUUCCAGUCGGCGCUGCCAUUUUGACGACAGGGGGCGCCAUUAUCACUGGCUGUAAUGUUGAGAAUGCCUCCUAUGGCCUUACCGUAUGUGCGGAGAGAAAUGCCAUACAGAGAGCGGUCGCAGAAGGCUACCGAAGAUUUACAGCCAUAGCUGUCACAUGGUAUGUCAUAUAUAUUCCAGAUACUGAAAUGUUGUUGUUUGAAUCACUGAAAAAAACCUUCUUUUCGUCUGACCAACAGUGAUAUCAAAGAUAGUUUUGUAGGACCCUGUGGUGCUUGUCGACAGGUAUUAAUGGAGUUUGGCACUGAAUGGGACAUUUACCUCACUAAGCCAGACGGAAGUUAUAAGAAGACCAGUCUCAGAGAGCUCUUGCCUUUGGCAUUUA
Molecule: long non-coding RNA, 3332 nt
Organism: Ctenopharyngodon idella (grass carp)
Lineage: Eukaryota; Metazoa; Chordata; Actinopteri; Cypriniformes; Xenocyprididae
Exons: 6
Source: RefSeq, a predicted model, not a curated record